This is a long non-coding RNA of Calidris pugnax (ruff), 2251 nucleotides long. RefSeq lists it as uncharacterized. The transcript is spliced from 7 exons. Lineage: Eukaryota; Metazoa; Chordata; Aves; Charadriiformes; Scolopacidae. The record is from RefSeq and is a predicted model, not a curated record.
AGAGCAGUUAUUUUGGGAUAUCUGAAGAGCAGGAACAUUCCUGGGAUUCUGCAAUAAGCCUCAGAGUUGGGAAAACAGAAUCUGCUAACCAGCAAUGGUUUGGAAGGAGGCUACCGAUCAUCCCCAAAGGCCAAACAUCGUUGCUUUACAUUGUCCUGCUUGGCGGAGCUGCAAAAGCCCAUAACCCACCUAUCUGGGACUCGUGGAGUACCGCUGCCGUAGCGAUGGGCGGACAGCAGCUGUCCUGAUCACACGCGGCACGACCGGGGAUGCUUCCCGCAAUCACAGCCUUGUGCACGACGAGUGUGCGAUCGCCUGACGGGGAAUUCCAGUGGAGAGCACCGUCCCACAGGAGGCUGCCCUGAUGGUCUACCAGCAAGUGUUGCGCUGCUGACGUGCCAUUUUUGGGAGGAGGUGUAACGAGCUAUGUCACCCUGCAGAGCAGGCUGAAAAUAGGAUUGCACUCACUGUGCCAUGUGGCUCAGUGAGAGGGAACUGACCUCCAAAAGAGCAGGGAUGGAAAAAAAAGGAAGAUCAAUGUCUUGGGAAGAAUACAGUCUCUACAGAGCAGCAACAAAAAUGUACCUUGCAGAAUGCAUGUGUGAGGGGAAUAGGGAACUCGGAGAAGAUAGCUCAUUCAGAGAAGAAAGAAAGAAGGAAAAGCAGAUGGUAUGCACUCAUCGGCCUGUCACUUAAUUGAAAAGAAUUAAAAGAACAGUUGCAACCUCUCCAGAGACAACAGGAGAUGCAGAGAAGCAGUCCCUCUGGUUCUUCUCAAACUGUGACAGGCUCUAUGACCUGUGAGAUGGAAAAAGUUUGCACGUCGUCCAGUCAAAGUAUGCAAAAACAGCAGGCCUCCGCUUCCAACAAGGCUGCUCUUCUGUCCCUGGUUGAUGCCAGCUUGUGAGUGAAAGUGUUGCGGUCUGCAAGACACAGAUUGGCCUGACAGGUUGUGGAGAAGGAGAGACAGAGACCACAAGGGUCUUGCUUGUCACUUCAGUGCCCCAGUCUCGCUGGAGCUUCAAGAGGAAUUGUCCUUGCUGAACAGUGACAUCCUGCACCUGGGAUGGAAUAACCACAUGGAACUGUGUAUAGGCUGGAUGCCGACUGGAGAGAAGCUGGUCAGCAGAAAAGGACGUCAGGAUGCUGGUGAGCAACAUCUGAGCAGGAGUCAGCGUGGCUGCCCGUGCACUGCUGAAGGCUAAUGGCAUCCUGCACUGCAUUAGGUAAUGCAUCACAGCAGAGUGAAGUAAGUACCCAAGAGGUGAUGACAAACUGGAGAAGGGCAGGUGGAGUGCCACUGAGAUGGCUGAGGGGACUAUGCUAUUAUGAAGGGUCUGAGAGAGGAGCAUUUAUUCAACCUUGCCCUUGCCAGGCUAAGGAAAAAAGACAGGACUAAACUUUUCUCAGAGGUGCUCAGUGGCAAUAGAUUGAGGUGCAGCAAGGAAAAUUCUGGUUGAUUAGCUAUUAAGAAAAAAUUCUUCACAAGGAGUGGUGCAGCAUCAGAACACAGGCCCAGAGAGGUGACAGAAUAUCCAUUCUUGGAAAUCCUCAAAGCUCAGCUAGACACGGCCCUGAGCAACCUGCUCUGUAUUUGAAGUGGGCCCUGCUGGGAGCAGGAGGUGGGACCAGAUGACCUCUAGAGGAAAGGUCCUUUCUCACCGAAAUUCUCUAUGAUUCUAAUUCGCCUCAUGACAUGUGCGCUAAGAUAUUAAGCACACUUAAUAUAUCAUCACUGGUGUCAGGUAUCAUCAACACUUUCAUCAGCUGGAACGCUGCCGAGCUGACUCAAAUACUGUACAUCUUGUCUAAACGCAAUUAAAAAGGCACAUGGCAGUUUCUGUGUAUCUCAAUUAGCCUUGUACCAUGCAUGUUGACAUUCAAAAUUAGCUGACUUUGGAGGCCUCUUCCCCACUCAAUUCAGAGCUUAUAUUGAUCUUGCCUGGUUUGUUGUAAUACUUACUAAGGCUCACAAAGUAAGGCCCUCCUUCAGAGUCACAUUAACAACAAAUUUGGAUUUUGGGAGAAUCAAAGCAAAGCUCACAGAGUAAAAACCUAAUGAAUCAAAUCCUAAAAGAUUAAUAUUCCUGCAUAAAGCAGCAAACCUCACAGACCUGCCUCUUCUUUCAUUGCUUCGCUCUUAGGAUGUAAGAGGAGCCAGUGGGCAGUGACAUCUCUCCCUCGUUGGCAUCUAUUAUUGUAAUGCUAAGUGCUAGCUCCUAUCACCCCUGUAAUCCUGUUUGGGAAGCUC